RNAcentral lists this ribosomal RNA (424 nucleotides) under uncultured prokaryote. RNAcentral describes it as "bacterial SSU rRNA". It matches the Rfam family "Bacterial small subunit ribosomal RNA", at positions 355 to 796 of the family's 1533-position model. The record is from RNAcentral.
UGGGGAAUCUUGGACAAUGGGCGAAAGCCUGAUCCAGCCAUGCCGCGUGAGUGAUGAAGGCCCUAGGGUCGUAAAGCUCUUUCGCCAGGGAUGAUAAUGACAGUACCUGGUAAAGAAACCCCGGCUAACUCCGUGCCAGCAGCCGCGGUAAUACGGAGGGGGUUAGCGUUGUUCGGAAUUACUGGGCGUAAAGCGCGCGUAGGCGGACUAUUAAGUCAGAGGUGAAAUCCCAGGGCUCAACCCUGGAACUGCCUUUGAUACUGGUAGUCUUGAGUUCGAGAGAGGUGAGUGGAAUUCCGAGUGUAGAGGUGAAAUUCGUAGAUAUUCGGAGGAACACCAGUGGCGAAGGCGGCUCACUGGCUCGAUACUGACGCUGAGGUGCGAAAGUGUGGGGAGCAAACAGGAUUAGAUACCCCCGUAGUCC